CUGCAGGGCAGUCCAUGCUCCGUGAUAAUAGUGGGAGGAGUCACAGAGCGGGGGGCACGAUGAAUUUACCUGGCAGCCGAGUAUGACUCUGAGGCUAAAUGUUUGGCAGCAUCGCACUGGAUUUCUGAUCUGUACAUAGGGAGACAUGAAGGCAAGAAGAAAACAAGGCCAUGGCUCUCUGGCGAAUCCUCUCACAACUUAUUGUGCCAAAGCAUAAGCUGUAGCAGAUCUCUUCAUCUUCCUGCAUAGUGAAGUCACUUCUGGGUUACACCCAAACUGGCUGCUGGAAGACCACGGAAAAGCACGCUGAAGCUGUAUGUGCAGGAGAUCUGUAGUGACAAAUUUACCUUCUACCACUGUGGAAUUUUGAGCCAUCACCUGUGGACCUCCAAGUGAAGAUAGAUAGCCUGGUUCUUCAUAUGCCAGUGAGUCCCUGGGCUCUCAUGUCAACUUUCAGUCAUCAAGUUAUGAGAAAUUGUGGAAGAUCCAAGGGAAACUGUGGGAGCACGAUUCUUUAGAUACACUGCUGACGAUACUGCUUCUGCCCAAAAGAAUAUGUUCAGGCUUGCAUCUUUAAACAAAAAUCGAGCUGUCUUAAUCCUGUUACAAUUUGCACGCUCAUUUACACCAUUUUGCUCUGGCGUGUAUGCAAUUGGCUGGUUGACCUUCAAUGCCAUGUUUCUUCAGUAAGGUCUUAACAUCUUUAUUUAGAUGUACUCCUCCAUUUUCAUAUCUCAAGACUUCCAAUAUGUGACCUGUUUGAGUUUCUACUGAUUUCUUGUAAUCGCCAGUCAUAUACAUCACUUCAUUCUUUUCUUUGAUUAAAUAAAUGUGUGUCAUU
Molecule: long non-coding RNA, 841 nt
Organism: Pseudophryne corroboree (corroboree frog)
Lineage: Eukaryota; Metazoa; Chordata; Amphibia; Anura; Myobatrachidae
Exons: 4
Source: RefSeq, a predicted model, not a curated record